GCCGAAGUGGUGAAACUGGCAGACGCACUGGAUUCAAAAUCCAGCGGGGGAGACUCCGUGUCGGUUCGAGUCCGACCUUCGGCACCA
RNAcentral lists this transfer RNA (87 nucleotides) under Herbivorax alkaliphila. Its description in RNAcentral is "tRNA-Leu". It matches the Rfam family "tRNA". From Rfam's summary of the family: Transfer RNA (tRNA) molecules are approximately 80 nucleotides in length. The record is from RNAcentral. Lineage: Bacteria; Bacillati; Bacillota; Clostridia; Acetivibrionales; Acetivibrionaceae.